RNAcentral lists this unclassified non-coding RNA (287 nucleotides) under uncultured fungus. Its description in RNAcentral is "partial contains small subunit ribosomal RNA, internal transcribed spacer 1, and 5.8S ribosomal RNA". The stretch from base 1 to 73 matches the Rfam family "Eukaryotic small subunit ribosomal RNA", at positions 1759 to 1831 of the family's 1831-position model. Lineage: Eukaryota; Fungi. The record is from RNAcentral.
GCAAACUUGGUCAUUUAGAGGAAGUAAAAGUCGUAACAAGGUUUCCGUAGGUGAACCUGCGGAAGGAUCAUUAUCGAGUUUGAUGUUUCGGCAUCAUCUCCCACCCAAUGUGUACCUUUCUUGUUGCUUUGGCCAGUCGACCUUUGGGUCCUUCGGCUUUACGCUGGAGAGUUGCUGGCCAGAGAAUUUUAAAACUCUGUUCAACUUUGAAAUCUGAGUCAAAACAAAAAUAAAUCAAAACUUUCAACAACGGAUCUCUUGGUUCUGGCAUCGAUGAAGAACGCAGC